Molecule: unclassified non-coding RNA, 344 nt
Filed under: soil metagenome
Description: partial contains 5.8S ribosomal RNA, internal transcribed spacer 2, and large subunit ribosomal RNA
Rfam family: 5.8S ribosomal RNA (bases 1-120)
Source: RNAcentral
GAUGAAGAACGCAGUGAAAUGCGAUACGUAAUGUGAAUUGCAGAAUUCAGUGAAUCAUCGAGUCUUUGAACGCACAUUGCGCCCCCUGGUAUUCCGGGGGGCAUGCCUGUCCGAGCGUCAUUGCUGCCCUCAAGCACGGCUUGUGUGUUGGGCCUCCGUCCUCCUCCCGGGGGACGGGCCCGAAAGGCAGCGGCGGCACCGCGUCCGGUCCUCGAGCGUAUGGGGCUUCGUCACCCGCUCUUGUAGGCCCGGCCGGCGCUUGCCGACACAUCAAUCUUUUUUCCAGGUUGACCUCGGAUCAGGUAGGGAUACCCGCUGAACUUAAGCAUAUCAAUAACGGAGGA